GUAAGGAAUAUUGGUCAAUGGACGCAAGUCUGAACCAGCCAUGCCGCGUGAAGGAUGAAGGUCCUCUGGAUUGUAAACUUCUUUUAUCUGGGACGAAAACGGGAUUUUUAUCUCAAUUGACGGUACCAGAGGAAUAAGCACCGGCUAACUCCGUGCCAGCAGCCGCGGUAAUACGGAGGUUGCGAGCGUUAUCCGGAUUUACUGGGUUUAAAGGGUGCGUAGGUGGGCUUAUAAGUCAGUGGUGAAAUCUCCGAGCUUAACUUGGAAACUGCCGUUGAUACUAUAGGUCUUGAAUUAUCUGGAGGUAAGCGGAAUAUGUCAUGUAGCGGUGAAAUGCUUAGAUAUGACAUAGAACACCAAUUGCGAAGGCAGCUUACUACAUAUAAAUUGACGCUGAGGCACGAAAGCGUGGGGAUCAAACA
RNAcentral lists this ribosomal RNA (422 nucleotides) under uncultured bacterium. RNAcentral describes it as "bacterial SSU rRNA". It matches the Rfam family "Bacterial small subunit ribosomal RNA", at positions 354 to 774 of the family's 1533-position model. The record is from RNAcentral.